GACGAACGCUGGCGGCGUGCCUAAUACAUGCAAGUCGAGCGCAGGAAACUGAUGGAACUCUUCGGAGGGAAGGCAGUGGAAUGAGCGGCGGACGGGUGAGUAACACGUAAGGAACCUGCCUCAAGGAUUGGGAUAACUCCGAGAAAUCGGAGCUAAUACCGGAUAGUUCAACGGACCGCAUGGUCCGCUGAUGAAAGGCGCUUCGGCGUCACCUUGAGAUGGCCUUGCGGUGCAUUAGCUAGUUGGUGGGGUAACGGCCCACCAAGGCGACGAUGCAUAGCCGACCGGAGAGGGGGAUCGGCCACACUGGGACUGAGACACGGCCCAGACUCCUACGGGAGGCAGCAGUAGGGAAUCUUCCACAGUGGACGAAAGUCUGAUGGAGCAACGCCGCGUGAGUGAUGAAGGUUUUCGGAUCGUAAAACUCUGUUGUAAGGGAAGAACACGUACGAGAGGAAAUGCUCGUACCUUGACGGUACCUUACGAGAAAGCCACGGCUAACUACGUGCCAGCCGCCGCCGUAA
This 524-nucleotide ribosomal RNA is filed under the name uncultured bacterium. RNAcentral describes it as "partial 16S ribosomal RNA". It matches the Rfam family "Bacterial small subunit ribosomal RNA", at positions 28 to 523 of the family's 1533-position model. The record is from RNAcentral.